AACUCAGCAUCUAGUUGGUGUUUCUAAGUCCAAUAACAAAGUAACACCUGUCUAAAAAUAACAUGUCAUCACACCCUACCUUAUACACCUGAAAAUACAAAUAUGCCCUUGAAAAAUUUCAAACCCCCGCCUAAGCACCCUUUUCCCCUUCAGCAAAAUCAAAACUCUCUUACUCCUCUCUGCUCUCUCUCACCGCACCACCAUCUGCUCUCUUUCUUUCUCUCAAGUCCGAAGUUCCACAGCCACUGCUUAGCAUCACCGCCGGAAAAAAUUUCAAACACUCACCCUCUCUUGCUUUUCCCCUUUUUGCAAAAUCAAAACUUUCAUCUUUCUCCCUCCAUGGCUCUAUCUUCUCUCUCUCAACUCCAAACCUUGACAGCCGCUGCCUAGCAUCGCCGUCGGAUAUAGAGAUACACUGUCGAUCAUCACCAGUUCUGACGAGACCGACGUUUGUCUCGUCGAAAAACGCCCAAAGCUGUCUCUUUCUCGUUGUUUCCAACCACCAACACCAGAAGUUUUCUCUGCUUCUAACACCAGACGUUGCAGGAAUGUUUUGUUCUCUCUCUUUUUGAAUUUAUUUUCUGAAAUUUUAUGUUUAAAUGUGUCUUGUUUUGUUUUUGUUUUUGUUUUUUUUUUUUUUUUUUUUUUUUUUUUUUUUUUAAAUUGACAUAUACAUUCAUAUCUAGAAAGGAAACUUCUACUGUUUGAUAAAAUGCUUCAGUGAAAAUAUUGAUUAGAUGAUGCAUUUAUAUGGGAUUUAUAAACAGAGGAAUCAGAAUAGCCAAAGUCUGGGAGACUAGCAAUUCCAAAUUAGCUAAGUUUAAGUUGUUUCUGGCUUAAUAAAAACCAUUUGUGAUCAGUGUCUGUCCAUACCAAUUUUACAUGUACAUUUCACUAUCCAUCUAUCCACAUAUACACUCACAUUUCACUAACAAUACAAAUCUGUCCUACAAGAAUUCAUAAUUCUUAUAUUAGAAAUUGUUAUAAACAAGAUUUUGGUGUGCAUCCUGCAUGCAAACUGUUAGACCAAUAAAUUCAAUCACUACUUUCCAGAAAAGAUACCUAAUCUGACUUGAGUAAUAAGCUCACCCAACUAGUGCAGUGACCUGCAUUAUUUGCUUUUUCAUAGUUGGAAUUUUCACAAUUUGUUUCAUUAUUUGUAAUAAUUUUUUUUUCAUGGUGUAGGGAUGGAUGUGAUGCUUUUGUUCCGUUGUUUUUGCUGAAGGAAUUGAUUUUGAUAAAUAGUUUCUUCCUAAGAGUCUCCUCUAAGGGCCUUGCAUAAAAUUCUGGACAAAGCUCUUUUGGAUAGUAUUUUGGAUGUUAUUCUGCACAGCUAAUGGACAGCAUUUUGGGACAGCAUUUUCGACAUUAUUGCACAGUGGAGGAACAUCUUAGAUAGUAUUUUUGACUUGCCAAUUUUUUAGAUAGAAUAGCUGAAAAUUUGGUCAAGUGAUUGCAUAGCCAAACACUAAUUAUUGCUGUCAUUUUGGAAAGAUUUUGUAACUAAUGAAGUUACUCAAACAUGAUAGAUUUUGUGUAUGUUUGAGUAGCUUCUAGUUAAAGACUAAUUAUAUGCAAAUGAUGAAAAUUUUUAAUGCAAUAGUACAUUUUAUUCUUUUA
Molecule: long non-coding RNA, 1620 nt
Organism: Quercus robur (English oak)
Lineage: Eukaryota; Viridiplantae; Streptophyta; Magnoliopsida; Fagales; Fagaceae
Exons: 2
Source: RefSeq, a predicted model, not a curated record